This 217-nucleotide long non-coding RNA is filed under the name Elaeis guineensis (African oil palm). RNAcentral's name for it is "long non-coding RNA (EGUI_LNC028102)". Lineage: Eukaryota; Viridiplantae; Streptophyta; Magnoliopsida; Arecales; Arecaceae. The record is from RNAcentral.
CAGACUUAUGGUGCAAUGCAAUCAUGAUGAACUCAACACUAAGCACCUAAAAUCAGAAUUUGAUCAACCAAAUUGAUCAGAUAAGUGAUGAUCGGUGGGAGGCUCUCCGUUGCUGAUGCAACGAUCUUAAUUAAGUAACCACCUUUCAAAGUACUUUUUUUAGACACCAAUAGGUCAAUCUAUUCUAAAUUAGGUUUGGCUUUUGGUUCCUCACCAC